UUAAGCGACUAAGCGUACACGGUGGAUGCCCUGGCAGUCAGAGGCGAUGAAGGACGUGCUAAUCUGCGAUAAGCGUCGGUAAGGUGAUAUGAACCGUUAUAACCGGCGAUUUCCGAAUGGGGAAACCCAGUGUGUUUCGACACACUAUCAUUAACUGAAUCCAUAGGUUAAUGAGGCGAACCGGGGGAACUGAAACAUCUAAGUACCCCGAGGAAAAGAAAUCAACCGAGAUUCCCCCAGUAGCGGCGAGCGAACGGGGAGCAGCCCAGAGCCUGAAUCAGUGUGUGUGUUAGUGGAAGCGUCUGGAAAGGCGCGCGAUACAGGGUGACAGCCCCGUACACAAAAAUGCACAUGCUGUGAGCUCGAUGAGUAGGGCGGGACACGUGGUAUCCUGUCUGAAUAUGGGGGGACCAUCCUCCAAGGCUAAAUACUCCUGACUGACCGAUAGUGAACCAGUACCGUGAGGGAAAGGCGAAAAGAACCCCGGCGAGGGGAGUGAAAAAGAACCUGAAACCGUGUACGUACAAGCAGUGGGAGCACGCUUAGGCGUGUGACUGCGUACCUUUUGUAUAAUGGGUCAGCGACUUAUAUUCUGUAGCAAGGUUAACCGAAUAGGGGAGCCGAAGGGAAACCGAGUCUUAACUGGGCGUUAAGUUGCAGGGUAUAGACCCGAAACCCGGUGAUCUAGCCAUGGGCAGGUUGAAGGUUGGGUAACACUAACUGGAGGACCGAACCGACUAAUGUUGAAAAAUUAGCGGAUGACUUGUGGCUGGGGGUGAAAGGCCAAUCAAACCGGGAGAUAGCUGGUUCUCCCCGAAAGCUAUUUAGGUAGCGCCUCGUGAAUUCAUCUCCGGGGGUAGAGCACUGUUUCGGCAAGGGGGUCAUCCCGACUUACCAACCCGAUGCAAACUGCGAAUACCGGAGAAUGUUAUCACGGGAGACACACGGCGGGUGCUAACGUCCGUCGUGAAGAGGGAAACAACCCAGACCGCCAGCUAAGGUCCCAAAGUCAUGGUUAAGUGGGAAACGAUGUGGGAAGGCCCAGACAGCCAGGAUGUUGGCUUAGAAGCAGCCAUCAUUUAAAGAAAGCGUAAUAGCUCACUGGUCGAGUCGGCCUGCGCGGAAGAUGUAACGGGGCUAAACCAUGCACCGAAGCUGCGGCAGCGACGCUUAUGCGUUGUUGGGUAGGGGAGCGUUCUGUAAGCCUGCGAAGGUGUGCUGUGAGGCAUGCUGGAGGUAUCAGAAGUGCGAAUGCUGACAUAAGUAACGAUAAAGCGGGUGAAAAGCCCGCUCGCCGGAAGACCAAGGGUUCCUGUCCAACGUUAAUCGGGGCAGGGUGAGUCGACCCCUAAGGCGAGGCCGAAAGGCGUAGUCGAUGGGAAACAGGUUAAUAUUCCUGUACUUGGUGUUACUGCGAAGGGGGGACGGAGAAGGCUAUGUUGGCCGGGCGACGGUUGUCCCGGUUUAAGCGUGUAGGCUGGUUUUCCAGGCAAAUCCGGAAAAUCAAGGCUGAGGCGUGAUGACGAGGCACUACGGUGCUGAAGCAACAAAUGCCCUGCUUCCAGGAAAAGCCUCUAAGCAUCAGGUAACAUCAAAUCGUACCCCAAACCGACACAGGUGGUCAGGUAGAGAAUACCAAGGCGCUUGAGAGAACUCGGGUGAAGGAACUAGGCAAAAUGGUGCCGUAACUUCGGGAGAAGGCACGCUGAUAUGUAGGUGAAGUCCCUCGCGGAUGGAGCUGAAAUCAGUCGAAGAUACCAGCUGGCUGCAACUGUUUAUUAAAAACACAGCACUGUGCAAACACGAAAGUGGACGUAUACGGUGUGACGCCUGCCCGGUGCCGGAAGGUUAAUUGAUGGGGUUAGCGCAAGCGAAGCUCUUGAUCGAAGCCCCGGUAAACGGCGGCCGUAACUAUAACGGUCCUAAGGUAGCGAAAUUCCUUGUCGGGUAAGUUCCGACCUGCACGAAUGGCGUAAUGAUGGCCAGGCUGUCUCCACCCGAGACUCAGUGAAAUUGAACUCGCUGUGAAGAUGCAGUGUACCCGCGGCAAGACGGAAAGACCCCGUGAACCUUUACUAUAGCUUGACACUGAACAUUGAGCCUUGAUGUGUAGGAUAGGUGGGAGGCUUUGAAGUGUGGACGCCAGUCUGCAUGGAGCCGACCUUGAAAUACCACCCUUUAAUGUUUGAUGUUCUAACGUUGACCCGUGAUCCGGGUUGCGGACAGUGUCUGGUGGGUAGUUUGACUGGGGCGGUCUCCUCCUAAAGAGUAACGGAGGAGCACGAAGGUUGGCUAAUCCUGGUCGGACAUCAGGAGGUUAGUGCAAUGGCAUAAGCCAGCUUGACUGCGAGCGUGACGGCGCGAGCAGGUGCGAAAGCAGGUCAUAGUGAUCCGGUGGUUCUGAAUGGAAGGGCCAUCGCUCAACGGAUAAAAGGUACUCCGGGGAUAACAGGCUGAUACCGCCCAAGAGUUCAUAUCGACGGCGGUGUUUGGCACCUCGAUGUCGGCUCAUCACAUCCUGGGGCUGAAGUAGGUCCCAAGGGUAUGGCUGUUCGCCAUUUAAAGUGGUACGCGAGCUGGGUUUAGAACGUCGUGAGACAGUUCGGUCCCUAUCUGCCGUGGGCGCUGGAGAACUGAGGGGGGCUGCUCCUAGUACGAGAGGACCGGAGUGGACGCAUCACUGGUGUUCGGGUUGUCAUGCCAAUGGCACUGCCCGGUAGCUAAAUGCGGAAGAGAUAAGUGCUGAAAGCAUCUAAGCACGAAACUUGCCCCGAGAUGAGUUCUCCCUGACUCCUUGAGAGUCCUGAAGGAACGUUGAAGACGACGACGUUGAUAGGCCGGGUGUGUAAGCGCAGCGAUGCGUUGAGCUAACCGGUACUAAUGAACCGUGAGGCUUAACCUU
RNAcentral lists this ribosomal RNA (2902 nucleotides) under Escherichia coli. RNAcentral describes it as "23S ribosomal RNA". It matches the Rfam family "Bacterial large subunit ribosomal RNA". Lineage: Bacteria; Pseudomonadati; Pseudomonadota; Gammaproteobacteria; Enterobacterales; Enterobacteriaceae. RNAcentral also lists the same sequence under 2 other names. The record is from RNAcentral.